UGUUUUGCUAACUAUUCCUCAUAUUUCGUUUACUGAUCUACACUUACAAAUGCGCUUCCAGAGUUUUCAUUUACGCUUCUGAAGUUUUCGUUUACACUCCCUGAGUUUGCGUUCGCUGUUCUGACACAAAUCUCUCGUGGGGGCGGGGCUAGUAGAAGUGUAUUCUUAUUGGCUACUGAGUUUUUGAUUGACAGCUUCUUGACCUGGAAGUGAAGACGUCAGUGAGUGUUGUGUUUACACGUUUGGAUGUGAGCGUCUGUAAGCGUAGCUUUCUAUUUCAUUUAGGUGAUAUUAAGUUUAUUUCUUUAUUUAUUUACUGCUACACUAUAUUGUUGAUAUGAUUUCUUAUAGAAGGAAUAGUACAGACAAAUGAUAUAAUUUGUCAUCGUCGAUAUCAGAAUACUGGAUAGCAUAGGCUACUCGUGGUGGAGAGGCAUAUUAGAGCUCAGUGAGAGCCCAUAACAUUAUACAGCAGUGUUGUCUUGAUUUAAUUGGGAUUUGAGCAACUUUUCCACAAACAAAAUUCUGAUGCUGACACAGAGGAUGGAGUGAUAAUACCAGAGAUCAGCUGUCUCCAUCAGACAAUAAUGUUACUUUGUUCAGACAUAUCACCUUUGAAUUACUGGGAUCCUUAUCUUCAGACACCUGUUGUAUUUUAUUUUAAUAUUAUAAAAUAGCAAAUAUUUUAAUUUCUUUGGAGCUCUAGAUUAAAACAAACACAGUACACAAGAGGUUGCAGUUUAUUCUUAUUAGUCUCUGCUGAUCAUGGAUUAGCAUACCAACAGCAUAUGAAUGGAAUAGUUCAUCCAAAAAUAAAAUUCUCACUUAUUUUACUCACCCUCAUGCUGUCCCAGAUGCAUUUUACUUUCUUUCUACAGAUAAAUACGAAUUAAGAUUUUAAGGAAAGUAAUCCAUCUCUGCAAGCCCUAAAGAUGCUUUAAAAACCACACACAGUGACCGUGAUGUCCAUGUGACCUCAGUGGAUGAAUCAAUACUGAAGUGAAACAAUAGAAUAAAAAAAAAUAAAUACUAAUAAUGUAAACUGUUUUAACUAUUAAAAAUCAUUUCCGACCAACUGCCAUACAUGGGUACAAUCCACUUGUGUUAUGUGGACUCACAGAGAUGUAUUAUUUCAUUAAAAAUCUUUGUGAGAUUAUACAUUUUAUUAUGUAUAUUAUGAGAAUACUGUGCAUUACAUGUAUAGUAUGCAGUUAAUGUUUUGUGGAUUCUGGUCUUUCCUGUCAUAACUGCAUCCAAGACUUUCACUUUGGUACUUGUGUAUAUGCUGUAGUGACAAUAAAGAAUGAAUAAAUUUA
Long non-coding RNA from Pimephales promelas (fathead minnow), 1316 nucleotides. RefSeq lists it as uncharacterized. Lineage: Eukaryota; Metazoa; Chordata; Actinopteri; Cypriniformes; Leuciscidae. The record is from RefSeq and is a predicted model, not a curated record.